CCUACGGGGUGCAGCAGUGAGGAAUAUUGGUCAAUGGGCGCGAGCCUGAACCAGCCAAGUAGCGUGAAGGAUGACUGCCCUACGGGUUGUAAACUUCUUUUAUAAGGGAAUAAAGUGAGGCACGUGUGCCGUUUUGUAUGUACUUUAUGAAUAAGGAUCGGCUAACUCCGUGCCAGCAGCCGCGGUAAUACGGAGGAUCCGGGCGUUAUCCGGAUUUAUUGGGUUUAAAGGGAGCGUAGAUGGGUUGUUAAGUCGGUUGUGAAAGUUUGCGGCUCAACCGUAAAAUUGCGGUGGAUACUGGCAGGCUUGAGUACGGUUGAGGUAGGCGGAAUUCGUGGUGUAGCGGUGAAAUGCUUAGAUAUCACGAAGAACUCCGAUUGCGAAGGCAGCUUACGAAACUGCUACUGACGUUGAUGCUCGAAAGUGUGGGUAUCGAACAGGAUUAGAUACCCUUGUAGUC
RNAcentral lists this ribosomal RNA (460 nucleotides) under uncultured bacterium. RNAcentral's name for it is "partial 16S ribosomal RNA". It matches the Rfam family "Bacterial small subunit ribosomal RNA", at positions 338 to 795 of the family's 1533-position model. The record is from RNAcentral.